CAGCAGCCGCGUGAAUACGAAGGGUGCAAGCGUUAAUCGGAAUUACUGGGCGUAAAGCGCGCGUAGGUGGUUUGGUAAGAUGGAUGUGAAAUCCCCGGGCUCAACCUGGGAACUGCAUCCAUAACUGCCUGACUAGAGUACGGUAGAGGGUGGUGGAAUUUCCUGUGUAGCGGUGAAAUGCGUAGAUAUAGGAAGGAACACCAGUGGCGAAGGCGACCACCUGGACUGAUACUGACACUAAGGUGCGAAAGCGUGGGGAGCAAACAGGAUUAGAGACCCGUGUAGUCCCUGUCUCUUAUAC
RNAcentral lists this ribosomal RNA (301 nucleotides) under uncultured bacterium. Its description in RNAcentral is "partial 16S ribosomal RNA". It matches the Rfam family "Bacterial small subunit ribosomal RNA", at positions 509 to 807 of the family's 1533-position model. The record is from RNAcentral.